Non-coding RNA from Potamilus streckersoni, 77 nucleotides. NCBI's taxonomy places the organism in Eukaryota, Metazoa, Mollusca, Bivalvia, Unionida, Unionidae. The record is from the annotation of a GenBank genome assembly.
GACCACUCCGGUAGCCUAGUGGUUAGAGCGUCCGUCUCGGAUGUGUGAAGUCGUGGAUUCGAUCCCCAGCCGAGUCA